Molecule: ribosomal RNA, 492 nt
Filed under: uncultured bacterium
Lineage: Bacteria
Description: partial 16S ribosomal RNA
Rfam family: Bacterial small subunit ribosomal RNA
Source: RNAcentral
AGUGAACGCUGGCGGUAGGCCUAACACAUGCAAGUCGAACGGCAGCACAGUAAGAGCUUGCUCUUACGGGUGGCGAGUGGCGGACGGGUGAGGAAUACAUCGGAAUCUACUUUUUCGUGGGGGAUAACGUAGGGAAACUUACGCUAAUACCGCAUACGACCUACGGGUGAAAGCAGGGGAUCUUCGGACCUUGCGCGAUUGAAUUAGCCGAUGUCGGAUUAGCUAGUUGGCGGGGUAAAGGCCCACCAAGGCGACGAUCCGUAGCUGAUCUGAGAGGAUGAUCGGCCACACUGGAACUGAGACACGGUCCAGACUCCUACGGGAGGCAGCAGUAGGGAAUAUUGGGCAAUGGGCGCAAGCCUGACGCAGCCAUACCGCGUGAGUGAAGAAGGUCUUCGGGUUGUAAAGCCCUUUUAUUAGGAAAGAAAAACAGCAGGUGAAAACCCGGCUGUUCUGACGGUACCCAAAGAAUAAGCACCGGCUAACUUCGUG